Molecule: ribosomal RNA, 270 nt
Filed under: uncultured prokaryote
Description: partial 16S ribosomal RNA
Rfam family: Bacterial small subunit ribosomal RNA
Source: RNAcentral
UACGUAGGUGGCAAGCGUUAUCCGGAAUUAUUGGGCGUAAAGCGCGCGUAGGCGGUUUCUUAAGUCUGAUGUGAAAGCCCACGGCUCAACCGUGGAAGGUCAUCGGGAAACUGGGUCACUUGAAUAUAGAAGAGGAAAGUGGAAUUCCAUGUGUAGCGGUGAAAUGCGUAGAUAUAUGGAGGAACACCAGUGGCGAAGGCGACUUUCUGGUCUAUUAUUGACGCUGAGGCUCGAAAGCAUGGGUAGCAAACAGGAUUAGAUACCCGUGUA